UUUGCUUCCCAACUAAGCAGGCGCUGCAAACAUCUUUCUCGUGUAUCACCUGAGGCAUCCCUACUACGAUCUCCUUGUCUAGCAUAUUCUUCAUGACUCCAAAGUUCACAUGUCCUAGCCGCGAAUGCCACGUCCAUGUAACAUCAGUUUCUUGUAUUUGAAGACACUUCUGAUAUUCAACCUCUAUUGGUGUCUUGUACAAUCGGUUUGGUUUCCUUGCGACUUGUACUAAUAGCAUUCCACGGGGAUCUUUCAGCAUCAGUAAGUCUCCUUUCAUAUUAACCUCACAACCCAUCUCGGUUGCUUGUCCAAGACUUAUGAUAUUGUGUUUAAGACUUGGGAUGUAGUAAAUAUCUUUGAGUG
RNAcentral lists this long non-coding RNA (363 nucleotides) under Brassica napus (rape). RNAcentral's name for it is "long non-coding RNA (BNAP_LNC010190)". The record is from RNAcentral. Lineage: Eukaryota; Viridiplantae; Streptophyta; Magnoliopsida; Brassicales; Brassicaceae.